GAUGAGCGCUGGCGGCGUGCCUAAUACAUGCAAGUCGAGCGAACAGACGAGGAGCUUGCUCCUCUGACGUUAGCGGCGGACGGGUGAGUAACACGUGGAUAACCUACCUAUAGGACUGGGAUAACUUCGGGAAACCGGAGCUAAUACCGGAUAACAUGUUGAACCGCAUGGUUCAACAGUGAAAGACGGUUUUGCUGUCACUUAUAGAUGGAUCCGCGCCGCAUUAGCUAGUUGGUAAGGUAACGGCUUACCAAGGCAACGAUGCGUAGCCGACCUGAGAGGGUGAUCGGCCACACUGGAACUGAGACACGGUCCAGACUCCUACGGGAGGCAGCAGUAGGGAAUCUUCCGCAAUGGGCGAAAGCCUGACGGAGCAACGCCGCGUGAGUGAAGAAGGUCUUCGGAUCGUAAAACUCUGUUAUUAGGGAAGAACAAAUGUGUAAGUAACUAUGCACGUCUUGACGGUACCUAAUCAGAAAGCCACGGCUAACUACGUG
This 497-nucleotide ribosomal RNA is filed under the name uncultured bacterium. RNAcentral describes it as "partial 16S ribosomal RNA". It matches the Rfam family "Bacterial small subunit ribosomal RNA", at positions 28 to 507 of the family's 1533-position model. The record is from RNAcentral.